Non-coding RNA from Schistosoma haematobium, 48 nucleotides. The record is from Rfam. Lineage: Eukaryota; Metazoa; Platyhelminthes; Trematoda; Strigeidida; Schistosomatidae.
AUCCAACUAACGAAGCCCAAAUAGGAUGAAACGCGCGUCAUACUGGAU